GUAGGGAAUAUUGGGCAAUGGAUGCAAGUCUGACCCAGCCAUGCCGCGUGGAGGAAGAAGGUCCUCUGGAUUGUAAACUCCUUUUUUGGGGGAAGAAUAGUUCUCUUGCGAGGGAAUGUGACGGUACCCUAAGAAUAAGCCACGGCUAACUACGUGCCAGCAGCCGCGGUAAUACGUAGGUGGCAAGCGUUGUCCGGAUUUAUUGGGUUUAAAGGGUGCGUAGGUGGUUUGAUAAGUCAGUGGUGAAAGCUGGUUGCUCAACAAUCAAGUUGCCAUUGAUACUGUCGGACUUGAGAGAAGUGGAGGUUCAUGGAAUGGAUGGUGUAGCGGUGAAAUGCAUAGAUAUCAUCCAGAACGUCGAUUGCGAAGGCAGUGGGCUGUACUUUAUCUGACACUGAGGCACGAAAGUGUGGGGAUCAAACAGGAUUAGAAACCCUAGUAGUCC
RNAcentral lists this ribosomal RNA (445 nucleotides) under uncultured bacterium. RNAcentral describes it as "bacterial SSU rRNA". It matches the Rfam family "Bacterial small subunit ribosomal RNA", at positions 354 to 796 of the family's 1533-position model. The record is from RNAcentral.